GUCUUACACUUGAUCUCUGAACUUAAGGUAAGUUCAUGUGUUGACAAGUACAUAUUGCUGAUGCU
This 65-nucleotide small nucleolar RNA is filed under the name Nelumbo nucifera (sacred lotus). RNAcentral's name for it is "Small nucleolar RNA snoR101". It matches the Rfam family "Small nucleolar RNA snoR101". The record is from Rfam by way of RNAcentral. Lineage: Eukaryota; Viridiplantae; Streptophyta; Magnoliopsida; Proteales; Nelumbonaceae.